Molecule: ribosomal RNA, 462 nt
Filed under: uncultured bacterium
Lineage: Bacteria
Description: bacterial SSU rRNA
Rfam family: Bacterial small subunit ribosomal RNA
Source: RNAcentral
GAUGAACGCUGGCGGCGUGCUUAACACAUGCAAGUCGAACGGGAUCCAGGCAGCUUGCUGCCUGGUGAGAGUGGCGAACGGGUGAGUAAUGCGUGACCGACCUGCCCCAUACACCGGAAUAGCUCCUGGAAACGGGUGGUAAUGCCGGAUGCUCCGACUCCUCGCAUGGGGUGUCGGGAAAGAUUUCAUCGGUAUGGGAUGGGGUCGCGUCCUAUCAGGUAGUCGGCGGGGUAACGGCCCACCGAGCCUACGACGGGUAGCCGGCCUGAGAGGGCGACCGGCCACAUUGGGACUGAGAUACGGCCCAGACUCCUACGGGAGGCAGCAGUGGGGAAUAUUGCACAAUGGGCGCAAGCCUGAUGCAGCGACGCCGCGUGCGGGAUGACGGCCUUCGGGUUGUAAACCGCUUUUGAUCGGGAGCAAGCCUUCGGGUGAGUGUACCUUUCGAAUAAGCACCGGCUA